Molecule: ribosomal RNA, 678 nt
Filed under: uncultured bacterium
Lineage: Bacteria
Description: partial 16S ribosomal RNA
Rfam family: Bacterial small subunit ribosomal RNA
Source: RNAcentral
GAUAACCUGCNNCAUACAGGGGGAUAACAGUUGGAAACGGCUGUUAAUACCGCAUAAGCGCACGAAACCGCAUGGUUUUGUGUGAAAAACUCCGGUGGUAUGAGAUGGGUCCGCGUCUGAUUAGCUAGUUGGCAGGGUAACGGCCUACCAAGGCGACGAUCAGUAGCCGGCCUGAGAGGGUGUACGGCCACAUUGGGAUUGAGACACGGCCCAAACUCCUACGGGAGGCAGCAGUGGGGAAUAUUGCACAAUGGGGGAAACCCUGAUGCAGCGACGCCGCGUGGGUGAAGAAGUAUUUCGGUAUGUAAAGCCCUAUNNUNNNGGAAGAAAAUGACGGUACCUGACUAAGAAGCCCCGGCUAACUACGUGCCAGCAGCCGCGGUAAUACGUAGGGGGCAAGCGUUAUCCGGAUUUACUGGGUGUAAAGGGAGCGUAGGUGGCGUGCCAAGUCAGGAGUGAAAACCCAGGGCCCAACCCUGGGACUGCUCUUGAAACUGGCAGGCUUGAGUGCUGGAGAGGUAAGCGGAAUUCCUAGUGUAGCGGUGAAAUGCGUAGAUAUUAGGAGGAACACCNGUGGUGAAGGCGGCUACUGACAGUGACUGACNACUGAGCUCGAACUCNGGGAGCAAACNGGAUUAGAUACCCUGNAGUCCNCGCNUAAACCAUGAAUGCUAGGGU